This is a long non-coding RNA of Aethalodelphis obliquidens (Pacific white-sided dolphin), 4862 nucleotides long. RefSeq lists it as uncharacterized. The record is from RefSeq and is a predicted model, not a curated record. Lineage: Eukaryota; Metazoa; Chordata; Mammalia; Artiodactyla; Delphinidae. The transcript is spliced from 6 exons.
CGUGGCCGCUGAGCCUGCGCGUCCGGAGGCUGUGCUCCGCAACGGGAGGGGCCACAACAGUGAGACGCCCGCGUACCGCAAAAAAAAACAAAAACAGAUUUGAGCAGGGCCUUAUAGAGAUUGAAAAGCAAAGAAACGUUCCCCCUUUUUUUCUGCUAUUUUAUCUUAAAGGCUCACAGUUGCAUUGCCACUGCUGGUUGCUGUGUAAAAUUAGUGUUUCUCAGAAGUUUACCCACUUCCGUAUUUUUAAAAUACCUAGUAUGUACCAGACGUUGCCACAGGUCCUAAGGAAGAUGGGCCACACCUAGGUAAGAGGAAACCUAAAAGUGGUUAAAUUAUAAAGGAAAUCAGGAAGUAUCUCGCCCACAGUUCAGGCUGAUGGUACAUGUUUAACAGCUGGUAGGGGGAGGAGUGCAUAUGUAGACACAUUUAUUAUGAAUUUUAACUAGUAAAAAGCAUGUGCAGUACACAGCCUACCAAAAAUGGUAAAACACAGUACUCUUUCUUGUAAAUUCCCUGGAGCCAUUUGAUCCUCAGAUGUUGCCAUUGCUUAUUUUUGCUGAACUCUUGUAUCCAUGGCCAACCUAUGGUUAAAAUUCAAUCAUAAUCUAUCAAAUUGAGUUGUCUCCCAACCCACUGUUUUUCCAAUAAAUUUAUUGUCAUUAAGUGUAAUAUGUGAUACAAACUUUGGUUGGUUUAAUCACAUCGAUGAGUGAGACAGAAAUGAACCAAAAAGAUAUAGAUCUUUAUUCAUCAGCGAUGUGAGCAACUUCUUUGCUGUAUUGGAUCAUUUUUCCAGUACUGGACGAAUGUUUUGUGCCAGUCAUAAUAUAAUGGCUAAAAACUGGACACAAUUUUAAGUUUAGCUGCACUGUUAAUUUUCUCCAUUAUUAGGCUAGGGGUUGGGAAAUGUUUUCUACAAAGGGCCAGAUACAUAUUUGCCGGACACCAGUGGUCUCUGGCACAUAGUCUUUGUUUUAUAUUUUAUCAACCUUUAAAAAUGUAAAAGCCAUUCUUCGCUUGAGCAAGGGCCUCACUUGGCCUUCAGUCUCUGAAUUGUAGCAUUUUCAGAGUUCCCCAGUGUAACUAUUUCUCUAAUGGCCAACUUGGGAGCAUCUGAACCAACUUGAAAUACCUUGAAUGCAGAGUUAGGGAAAGUAUUUCCACCAUACAGGUACAAGAGAUGUGAGUAACCUCAAAAGCACGGGUUUUAGUAAAGUAAUCAUGAAGUGGUGAGUUUUGAGACCUUGUUUUUGAUAGAACUGAUUUCACUCUAAGUUUAUAUAAUUCAGUGCUUUAUAACAUCUGUGUUUAACAGCUAGCUCAUGGAAUUCCUGAAUUUUUAACGAUCAGCUCUAACUGGCUCCAACUCCACACUGGUCUAACCUCUAAGUGGACCUGGGGGUGGGUAAGCCAGGCUUCUGGGAGGGUAGGCGAUGUUCUGUUUCUGGGUUAAACUUAGACACACGGGAAGGUGAAACACCCCUGCGCCCCCCAUGAGUCAAUGCCCUGUAUCAUCACCUCCCCAUGAGUGUAGGCGGGGCCUGCGAUGUGCUUCUAAUCAGUAGAAUUUGGUGAAAGGACUGUGAUGUCAUCCCUUCCCUGUGGGUCGCAUCGUAUGUAAAGGGAGUUGGAUGUCACGCCCAUCACUCCCAGGACCCCAUGACAACUGGAGACAGACUCUCCCGCUGGCCUCUCGGGAGCAAACAACCAUGUUGUGAACGGCCCCAGAGAAGGACGCUUGGCAGGGAACCAUGGAGCUUCUGGGACCUGAGGGCAACCAGCAGCCCAGAAGAAGCUGGGCCAGCACCUCAAUCGUGGCCACGUGGGACCCUGAGCAGAAGACCAGCUGAGCAGUAUACCGGGACUGCUGCCCCACAGACACCAAGGGGCGGUGACAGAGGAUGAGCAGUGCAGAGCCUGGGACGCUGCAGCCAUCAGGCUUCCGGCGUCAUCAUCAACCGAGGAAGGUGGAGCCCUGGGUCAAACCACACCGAAAUUCCAUCUGUACCGAGAUCCCAGCAACACAGCACUGGGGCUUGGAUGAUGGACGCUCAGCUCAGAUGAACUUAGACUCCAUGAGAUGCAACCAGCAAAAGUGGGAAACAGACUCUGGGAAACUUUAAUGAACAGGUGACCCCGUUUUUAAAAAUAAAUCGAAAGGGGGAAAAAAGGAGGCGGAGGGAAAACAUGGACUAAAAGAGAUUAAGAGAAUCCUCACUCGUUGUUGGGAACAUAAAAUGCUGCAGUCACUUGGGAAAACGGUCUGGUAAUUUCUUUAAAAGUUAAGUAUACAUUUGGCGUGUAUCCCAGCAAUUCCACCCCUGUAAAUCUACUGGAGUGAAAUGAAAACACAUGUCAACAAGUAGUGCAUAAAAGUUUAUAGCAGAAGUUUUACUAAAACCCAAACUGGAAACAACACGUGUGUCUCUCAACUUGUGGACUGAUUUCUUUUUUUAAACGGUGGUAUAUUCAUACAGCAAAGCAUUGUCAGCAAUAACAGGGAUGAACUGCUGAUCCGUGCAACAUGGAUGAACCCCAAAACCUUGCGCUUUGCGUAAGAAACCAGACACAAAAGGCCACAUAGCGUGUGAUUCUGUGUAUGGGAAAUAGGUAGAAAAGGAAAAACCCUAGAGAAAAAAGCAUAUCUGUGUUUGCCUGACGCUGAAGGUCAGAGUGAGAAUCGACCGCAAAUGGGCGUGAGGGAACUUUUUGGGUGACAGAAAUAUUCUGAAACUGGAUUGGGGUGGUUAUUGAACAACUGUGCAAUUCUCCAAAAGUUUGUCCAACUGUACGUUACAGUGUGUGAAUUUUGUGGUAUGUAAAUUAUACCUCAAUUGAGGUAAAUUAUCCCUCAAUAAGGUUAUGAGAAGAUGAAAAUCUAAACACUGGCCAAAAAUUGUAUACUGUUAAGGCGGGAUUAGGAUUCUUUCACGGAUUAUCGUGGUGAUUUUUUUUAAAACCAACUCUUAUCUUUUAGGGAUACGCACUGAAUUAUAGGAAAUGAUAUAAUGCCUGAGACUGGCUUCAAAAUAAUACGAGAGGAUUUGGGCGGCUUAUAGAUGAAACAAGGCUGUGUAUACGGAUCCCCGCUGGAGCUGGGUUUUGGGUACAUGGAGUCUUUGAAAUCGGUGUGUCGUGUGUUUUACGCGGACAGCACAUCUCACUUUGGCUGGGUCCCACUUCCAGCGCUCAAGAGCUAUAAAUGAUAAAGCGGCUAUAAAUUAUCCCUCUGGGGUUCUGCAUGUAUUCUGGGUCGUGAAGCCUUAGAAGGGCCGUCGCUUCUGCCCAGCUGCAUCCUCAGGGUUGUAGCAAAGGCCCCCGCCGAGGGCACAACCCCAGUGGCUCAUCAGUCAGGGGCUGGUUUUGUCUGCAGUGGGGACCCUCCACUGGGAUGACACCACUGACUGGGCACUCGGAGGGCCUGACUUCAAGCCGCUGAUUUAAAAACCUGGCGUGACCUGUUCACCGGGUACAAAGGUGACUUCUGCAGCCCAUCGGAUGUCUCUCCAGAAGAGCGGGCCCCUGAGCGCUUAGAGGAUUGAGCCUGUUUGUGGUGGAAAUAACAGCACAAAAACCUUUGCGGAGAAGCAGAAACAGAGCUGCUGAAUGACUGCUUGGAAUGACCUCUGUUUCCAUUCCUGCACGCACGGAGCUUACAUUGGUCCAUAACACACCGCUCCCAGCCACGCAAGAAAAAAGCUAGACGAGCUGAAGAAUCAAAACUCGUCUUAGAUCUGCCAGAGCACCAGCUCCAGGGGCUUCCAUCAGGGUAAGAGCCUGCGUGUCGUGGGCUCCCAGCAGUCGACUGGGUCCUCCCUCGCAAACUUUUUCUUUUUCCUUUUUUGAGCGGAUGCAUCGUGAAGCAGCUUUAGCAGCCCGUCUAGACGCAAGAGAGUGUGAGAAGAAUUCACUUUCUCCGAUUCUGGUUCUAUAAUGGCUUUUUAUUGCCCUCUUUCUGGACCUCUCCGUUGAAGCUGUCAGUGUAUCGAAGGCUUGCUGUUUAAGAGGAAAGGAACUUGCAAGGUUCAGUGGGUGUCUCGGAUUGCAGGGUCAUCGUGAGUCAGCCCUGGGAGCUCCUACCAUUGUCACGUACAGGUUCUUGCUGGUCGGGAAAAGAACUGUCCAGGUCUGUCAGUCUGCGCAGAAGUCUUCACGUUUAAUAUCGUCAAGCCUGAGGGCCGUGGAAGCACAUAUAUACCUCUUGUUCUCAAACAGACCUGUCAUUAACAAGAGAGAAGUCACCCCAGAUGAGCCAGAGGAAAGAACUUUGGAGGUUUUAUGUAAAUCUCUCUCUUUAAAGAAAAAAUUGUGGUAAAAGACACGUAACCCAAAAUUUACAAUCUUAACUAUUUUAAGUGUACAGUUCGGUAGCGUCAAGUACAUUCACAUUAUCGUGCAGCCAUCGUCAUCUCCAAAACUUUUUCAUCUUGCGAAACGGAAGCUCUGUCCCCAUUAAACACUCACUCCCCAUUCAUUCCCUGUCCCUCUGGGAAGUAACCACCCUUCUACUUUUUGUCUCUAUGAACUUGACUCCCCUAGGGACCCCACAUAAGCGGAAUCAUACAGGACCUCUCUUUUCGUGACCAGUUGAUUUCUCUUAGCCCCAUGUCUCCAGGAUUCAUCCACGUUGUAGCAGGUGUCAGGAUUUCCUUUGUUUUUAAGGCUGAAUAAUGUCCCAUCAGACAUGUCGGUGGACCCUUGGCUUGUUUCCAUCUUUUGCAUAUUGUGAAUAACGCUGCAUUGAACGUGAGUGUACAGAUGUCAUUUCAAGACCCUGCUUUCGGGACUUCUCUGGUGGUGCAGUGGUUAGGAAUCCGCCUGCCAGUGCGGGGGAUACGGGUUCGAGCCCUGGUCUGGGA